Motacilla alba alba is the source of this 1378-nucleotide long non-coding RNA. RefSeq lists it as uncharacterized. The record is from RefSeq and is a predicted model, not a curated record. The transcript is spliced from 3 exons. Lineage: Eukaryota; Metazoa; Chordata; Aves; Passeriformes; Motacillidae.
ACAAGUCCCAGGGACUUGAAAUUUGUAAGGUGGGGUGUAGUCAGGCUCUAGAUGGUAUUCCUAGUUUGACACAGGAUGUUUGGAGCUGUGAAGUUCUCCUGCAGCCAUUUGACUUGUCUUAACUUUCUUUCAGAUGCAGCAGGAUAAAAUCCAUGGCAGAGCAUCCCAUCCUGGAUUAGGGGGCUCCCCAUAGCAGGAAGUAAAGCCAGAUAUCAGCAGUCAGGUUGAAGAGGGCAAGGUGAGCAGUGUCCAGUGGAAUGAAGCCUUUGUUAGUGCUCAAGUCUCACUUUCUGGUGCAGCUCUAAGCCUCCAUUCUCGUUUGUGUCCUUUAGGCAAUUCACUCGGAGUAUGCAAAGCUCCCGUCACGCACCGGCCGAUGGACUGGGUUUGCUGCUCUUGUGAGCCCUCUGGGAGCCUUACAGGACUCGGUGAUGAAGCCUUUGCCUUUUUUACUUAAAGGUGUCAUCUGGGUCACCUUUGGCAACAGCCAUGGAGUUGCGGUGAGUCGGGGAAGCAGGGAGGAGAAGGGAGGGUCUGCUCAGGUUUCAGCAAUGCCACAUCACCUCGUCUCCUCUUAACCCAGGCAUACCCUGCAACGACGGCGUGGCCUCCGAGCGCAGCAAAAGCAUGUGGCCCGAGGAGCUGGGCAUUCUCUGGAGAAGGCCGUCUAAGAGACAACGGCCCAGUGACAGCAGGAACUUCCCAGCCAGGAAGGCUGCCUUCCUUCACACCAGACAUGGAUCGGCAUCCCCAGAUGUCUGAGAUAAGUAGAGGGCUGUGACCCAGAGAGGGGAUGAAAGCAGGGUGCUGGGUCGGGACUCACCGGGAGGAGUUUUUGAGUCCGCUUUGGAGACGGGGAUGUGGAAGAAGCGGCCCCUUAGGCCACUGAAUGGGAAAGUGUCACUUUUGAUCACAUUGCUGAGGUGCUCAGGGCAGAGCAGUCCCGGUGCGUCUCAUGUCACUUGUCUGUUGUGCAUUCUGUGUGUUUGGGUAUGUCAUGCCUUUUUCCUUAGCCCUUUGAGGGGCCUGUCAGAGACCCAUGCAUCAUUCUUAGCAUCUGUGAUCUCUGCGUUCCUUGGCCUGGCACCGAUGCCAUAGAACUUUUGACUAGGGAGCUCAGAUAGGCAUCAGAAUCGCAUCUCUCUUUAGAAGCAUCCGGUCAGAUGUCUUUUCAGGUCUUGUUCUGAGCUGUAUGGACAGCUGCGCCCCGCAGGAUCCAUUGCGGCAGAUGAGGACUCGUAAGAAUGUGAGGACUGGUAGAGGAUUCUGACCAUAGGAUUCACAGGCAUCCAUCUUUGCAGUUCUUGAAAUAUAUCAUUCAGUUAGCAUCUUCUUCCUCCAGGGUUCUCUGAGCUUCAUCAGCUCGCCAUCGCCCUCU